UUUUUUUUUUUUUUUUUUGAUUUUUCGCCAACUUUUCUGCUAGAAAUCUUUCUCCGAUUUUUCAGUUUAGUACUUUUUCUAAAAUAAAAUAUUUGACUGAGGAGGUAGUUUAAAGAGUUAUUUCUAAAUAAAAAAUGAAUUUUGAUCAUAAUCGUUUUUCAUUAGUAUUGUUAUAUUGUUAUGUACAAAUAUAAAAUAAUCAACCUAUGAACCCUACUUUAACUCCCUAC
Cinara cedri is the source of this 230-nucleotide non-coding RNA. The record is from the annotation of a GenBank genome assembly. NCBI's taxonomy places the organism in Eukaryota, Metazoa, Arthropoda, Insecta, Hemiptera, Aphididae.